RNAcentral lists this ribosomal RNA (885 nucleotides) under uncultured bacterium. RNAcentral describes it as "bacterial SSU rRNA". It matches the Rfam family "Bacterial small subunit ribosomal RNA", at positions 9 to 873 of the family's 1533-position model. The record is from RNAcentral.
AGAGUUUGAUCCUGGCUCAGGAUGAACGCUGGCGGCGUGCCUAAUACAUGCAAGUCGAGCGAAUCUAAGGGAGCUUGCUCCCGAAGAUUAGCGGCGGACGGGUGAGUAACACGUGGGCAACCUACCUGUAAGACUGGGAUAACUUCGGGAAACCGGAGCUAAUACCGGAUAAUAUAUGAGACCACAUGGUCUCAUAUUAAAAGAUGGCUUCUCGCUAUCACUUACGGAUGGGCCCGCGGCGCAUUAGCUAGUUGGUGAGGUAACGGCUCACCAAGGCAACGAUGCGUAGCCGACCUGAGAGGGUGAUCGGCCACACUGGGACUGAGACACGGCCCAGACUCCUACGGGAGGCAGCAGUAGGGAAUCUUCCGCAAUGGACGAAAGUCUGACGGAGCAACGCCGCGUGAGCGAAGAAGGUCUUCGGAUCGUAAAGCUCUGUUGUUAGGGAAGAACAAGUAUCGUUCGAAUAGGGCGGUACCUUGACGGUACCUAACCAGAAAGCCACGGCUAACUACGUGCCAGCAGCCGCGGUAAUACGUAGGUGGCAAGCGUUAUCCGGAAUUAUUGGGCGUAAAGCGCGCGCAGGCGGUCCUUUAAGUCUGAUGUGAAAGCCCACGGCUCAACCGUGGAGGGUCAUUGGAAACUGGGGGACUUGAGUGCAGAAGAGGAGAGCGGAAUUCCACGUGUAGCGGUGAAAUGCGUAGAGAUGUGGAGGAACACCAGUGGCGAAAGCGGCUCUCUGGUCUGUAACUGACGCUGAGCGCGAAAGCGUGGGGAGCGAACAGGAUUAGAUACCCUGGUAGUCCACGCCGUAAACGAUGAGUGCUAAGUGUUAGAGGGUUUCCGCCCUUUAGUGCUGAAGUCAACGCAUUAAGCACUCCGCCU